Molecule: long non-coding RNA, 318 nt
Organism: Oncorhynchus tshawytscha (Chinook salmon)
Lineage: Eukaryota; Metazoa; Chordata; Actinopteri; Salmoniformes; Salmonidae
Source: Ensembl
CAGUCAUACCCCUCCCACUACUAAAGGACCAGACAGUCAUACCCCUCCCACCACUAAAGGACCAGACAGUCAAACCCCUCCCACCACUAAAGGUUGAGACAGUCAUACCCCUCCCACCACUAAAGGUUGAGACAGUCAAACCCCUCCCACCACUAAAGGUCCAGACAGUCAAACCCCUCCCAUUACUAAAAGGUCCAGACAGUCAAACCCCUCCCAUUACUACAGAUCCAGCCAGACGGUCAUACCCCUCCCACCACUAAAGGUUGAGACAGUCAUACCCCUCCCAUUACUAAAAGGUCCAGACAGACAGUCAUACCC